Molecule: RNA transcript, 1587 nt
Organism: Zonotrichia albicollis (white-throated sparrow)
Lineage: Eukaryota; Metazoa; Chordata; Aves; Passeriformes; Passerellidae
Source: RefSeq, a predicted model, not a curated record
GCUGCCCUGGGGCCGGCACAGCCCGGCAAUCUGUCUGUCCUGCCCUGCCCUGUUUGUCCUGUCCAGCUGAGCAGCCCCGGCAGCGCAGGAUGCGCGCCCGGACGGAGCCCCCGCAGCCCCGGGGCAGCGCGGUGAGGGGCACUGGGCAGGAGUUCUAAGUGACAAUUUUGACUUGCAGUGGAGUUAUCUCUCGAUCAUCACCUUCUUUUCGAGUCCAUCCCUGUGUCAGACACCCAGCUUCAGACUCCUGACAUGGAGGAAAUCAUGGUGGAAACAGUCCUGGCCCCAUGGGAGAUCCUGCUAGUCAUUUUUGCUGCAGUGCUGGUGAUGAGUGUGCUGAUGCUGCUGCCCCCAGCUGCGGUGGUGAUCUGGAGGAUGAGACAUGUGCCACAGAUCUCGCUGCAGGGCUCGGUGUGAGCCAGCCCUGCUCCAGCACUGCCCUGGCAGCAUGGCUCACACUGACAACACCUCUCAGGUCACUCUCACUACCUGUGAGCCACCCCAGAGCACUGCCUCUGCCAGUCUGCUGCUGCUGAGUUUCUGUGAGAAGAGUUUAUUGUGUGAUUUUGGGGCCAUGAGCUGCAGUUCUCCACACUUUGCCUUCCAUGUUCUGGCUGGGUUGUAAUUACUGCUCUCGGCUCAGCUCCUGAACUGAGUUCUUCUCUUGUGUUACAAUGGACUGAAAGAGAAGUAAGGAUAAUGCAGCACUGUAUUCCCUUAAUUAAUAUCAGGAAUAAUUAAUAUCCCUCUCUAUAGUUACACUGUAAAUAUUACCAAAGCCUUUAGCUGACUGACACUUGUGCAGGUGGAUUUAUCCAAUGCAUAUAAGAUACUCUGGGGAGGCAGUGGUUUAGUCUGGUUGUAUUGCAAAACCUAAAAAAAAAAUAAAAUUUCCGAGAAUGUUUCAAGAAGUAAGCCUCUCCUGCUUCUCUUGUUUGAUCUGGAAACUUAAUGGUUUAAAAUGGUAUUAAGAUCUUUCAUUCUAUAUGAAUUUUCCUCUUUCCUCAACCCCCUAGUGCCAGAACAAACCCCAUCCUGGGGCUAGAGCAGAAAUGGUCCUAUGCUCAGACAGGCCAGACACCAACAAGAAGUUAAUGCAAACACACAGCAACCAUUUACAUGAAUGAAAUUAUGCAAAUGUACUCUGGGAAAUAACACGAUUAAAUUUACUUUAGUUCUUAACUGUGUCAUAUUGGCUUAUUGAGUCAACUCCCUGUCUCAUUAUAAAUAAUAACUCAGGUGGUGGGAAUAGAACAAAAUUUCUUCUCUGCAAGUUUUUGAAAAACAUCCCAGCAACCCAAUCUCCAGCUUAAUAUCAGGUUCAUGACACAUGAUAAUUAAAGCUUUCCAGCCUAAUUCUUCCACACUGUGUGACACUAUAAAGAUUUCUGAUGCACAAAUGAAAGUUUCUGCUAGUUUACAAGCUUCCUUUCCUCGUGAAAUAAAAUAUGAAUGACUUUUCUUUUCUUUUGUUGAUUGCUUUGGAAAGUCACUAGAAUAGAAUAACAAAAUUGAGAGGAAAAAAUGGGGUUUAGCACCAGCAGAAAAAUUAUACUGAAAAGUACUCCAGAUAUUUUAUCUGAGCAU